Molecule: transfer RNA, 69 nt
Filed under: Torpedo marmorata (marbled electric ray)
Lineage: Eukaryota; Metazoa; Chordata; Chondrichthyes; Torpediniformes; Torpedinidae
Description: tRNA-Pro
Rfam family: tRNA
About the family: Transfer RNA (tRNA) molecules are approximately 80 nucleotides in length. Their secondary structure includes four short double-helical elements and three loops (D, anti-codon, and T loops).
Source: RNAcentral
CAGGAGAUAGUUUAAUUAAAAUUUUGACUUUGGGAGUCAAAGAUAGGAGUUUAAAGCUCUUUUUCUUGA